Molecule: long non-coding RNA, 207 nt
Filed under: Elaeis guineensis (African oil palm)
Lineage: Eukaryota; Viridiplantae; Streptophyta; Magnoliopsida; Arecales; Arecaceae
Description: long non-coding RNA (EGUI_LNC054059)
Source: RNAcentral
GUGGGGUGAAGAGUCCUAGUGAUCUUAGACUCUUACAGGAUUCCACCUCUCUUCACAAUUUCACAUCCUAAAAUAUAUCAAAAAAAAUGGGAUGCCCCUUUCUAUAUUUUUUUAUAGUAAAUUAGUUCUUUAUCUAAUCUAUCACAAAAAAAUCUCUUCAAAAUAUCACACAUAUAAGGAGAAAAAAAUUUAUUGGCAUGAAGAGGU